Molecule: ribosomal RNA, 1333 nt
Filed under: uncultured rumen bacterium
Lineage: Bacteria
Description: bacterial SSU rRNA
Rfam family: Bacterial small subunit ribosomal RNA
Source: RNAcentral
CAGGCCUAACACAUGCAAGUCGAACGGACUGAUUUCCUUCGGGAAUGAAAGUCAGUGGCGGACGGGUGAGUAACGCGUGAGUAACCUGCCUUUCAGAGGGGGAUAACGUUUGGAAACGAACGCUAAUACCGCAUAACGUACAGUUGUCGCAUGGCAGCAGUACCAAAGGAGCAAUCCGCUGGAAGAUGGACUCGCGUCUGAUUAGAUAGUAGGCGGGGUAACGGCCCACCUAGUCGACGAUCAGUAGCCGGACUGAGAGGUUGAACGGCCACAUUGGAACUGAGACACGGCCCAGACUCCUACGGGAGGCAGCAGUGAGGAAUAUUGGUCAAUGGGCGCGAGCCUGAACCAGCCAAGUAGCGUGAAGGAAGACUGCCCUAUGGGUUGUAAACUUCUUUUGUUUGGGAAUAAAGUGGGCCACGUGUGGCCUUUUGUAUGUACCAUACGAAUAAGCAUCGGCUAAUUCCGUGCCAGCAGCCGCGGUAAUACGGAAGAUGCGUGCGUUAUCCGGAUUUAUUGGGUUUAAAGGGAGCGUAGGCGGCCCGUUAAGUCAGCGGUUAAAUGUCAGUGCCCAACAUUGGCAUGCCGUUGAUACUGGUGGGCUUGAAUACACACAAGGAUGGUGGAAUUCGUCGUGUAGCGGUGAAAUGCUUAGAUAUGACGAAGAACUCCGAUUGCGAAGGCAGCCAUCUGGGGUGCGAUUGACGCUGAGGCUCGAAAGUGCGGGAAUCAAACAGGAUUAGAUACCCUGGUAGUCCGCACCGUAAACGAUGAAUGCUCGUUCUGGGCGAUACACUGUCCGGGACCUAGGGAAACCAUUAAGCAUUCCACCUGGGGAGUACGCCGGCAACGGUGAAACUCAAAGGAAUUGACGGGSSCGCMAAGCGGAGGAACAUGUGGUUUAAUUCGAUGAUACGCGAGGAACCUUACCCGGGCUUGAACUGCUGAGGAAGGAUACAGAGAUGUAGCCGCCCUUCGGGGCCUCAGUGGAGGUGCUGCAUGGUUGUCGUCAGCUCGUGCCGUGAGGUGUCGGCUUAAGUGCCAUAACGAGCGCAACCCUUGCCGUCAGUUGCCAUCACGUAUUGGUGGGCACUCUGAUGGGACUGCCAUCGCAAGAUGUGAGGAAGGUGGGGAUGACGUCAAAUCAGCACGGCCCUUACGUCCGGGGCUACACACGUGUUACAAUGGGGGGGCACAGCGCGCCGCUACCUGGUGACAGGAUGCGAAUCGUGAAAUCCCCUCUCAGUUCGGACUGGAGUCUGCAACCCGACUCCACGAAGCUGGAUUCGCUAGUAAUCGCGCAUCAGCCAUGGCGCGGUGAAUACGUUCCCSG